UGAGGAAUAUUGGUCAAUGGGCGCAAGCCUGAACCAGCCAUGCCGCGUGCAUGAUGACGGUCCUAUGGAUUGUAAACUGCUUUUGUACAGGAAGAAACAGUUCUACGUGUAGAACCUUGACGGUACUGUAAGAAUAAGGAUCGGCUAACUCCGUGCCAGCAGCCGCGGUAAUACGGAGGAUCCAAGCGUUAUCCGGAAUCAUUGGGUUUAAAGGGUCCGUAGGCGGUUUUGUAAGUCAGUGGUGAAAGCCCAUCGCUCAACGGUGGAACGGCCAUUGAUACUGCAAGACUUGAAUUACUAGGAAGUAACUAGAAUAUGUAGUGUAGCGGUGAAAUGCUUAGAUAUUACAUGGAAUACCAAUUGCGAAGGCAGGUUACUACUAGUGGAUUGACGCUGAUGGACGAAAGCGUGGGGAGCGAACAGG
RNAcentral lists this ribosomal RNA (424 nucleotides) under Fusobacteriota bacterium. RNAcentral describes it as "Fusobacteria bacterium partial 16S ribosomal RNA". It matches the Rfam family "Bacterial small subunit ribosomal RNA", at positions 355 to 776 of the family's 1533-position model. Lineage: Bacteria; Fusobacteriati; Fusobacteriota. The record is from RNAcentral.